CCACUCCGAAUUCCCUCACAGCUCCAAGCCUACUAUGGUUGGGGAUUUCCUGCGUGGAUGAAAAUAAAAGGGGUGAGUUUGGGGAAACUCAGUGUGUAAAUUAACCCAACCAUAGCCUAUAUCAGCUCAAACCACAUAAAUAGAAUAAGUUGGCCUUAGCCCAGAACAGAAUUCAGAAUAAAGCCCAUAGGCCCAUAACAGAACAGAACAGAUAUUACAUGUUUAUACAGAAACCCAACCAUAUCCAACCGUAUACACCCCCGUACCAACCUUACAUCGUGUGGGGAGACAACUCGACCCACCCAACCGCUACACACCACAGAAUUUGCAGCAUGGCUGCCAGAACAGAUAAUGUGACAGAGUCACCAGAUACAGUUAAUCGUGGCAGAGCCACCAGAACAGAUAUAUGUGGCAGAGCCACCAGAUCAGAUAUUUGUGGCAUAGCCACCAGAACGCUUCCUCCAUAAUAUAACCCAUGUCCCCAUGCAACAGAUAUAUAAUCAUGGCAUACAUCAUACAGAAUCAGAUCGUCAUGCUUUUCAGUCAACAUUAACCCUAGGGGUAUAACGGUAAUUUUGCACCUAGGGGUAUAACAGUAAUUUUCCAUACAUAGGGGUAUUAUAGUAAUUUAGAUACUUUUAGGGUUUUCAUGCAUAUCCUAAUUAUUUACGUACUAUUAGAACACUUACCGCGCAUACUUACUGAAUUGGGCCCGUUGGCCCAUGAACCCGAUCUUUGGCCCAUUAAGCCCAAAUUAUCAAAAUGUACGAAAUCGCGCGUACUGCAGUUUAUUACUUUAGAUUACCAAAUAUACAAACCCAACUAUCUUACGAGCAUUCGCACACUCACAAAUUCCCAAAAUACUGACUUUUCGGCAUUUCGGCUUUUCGGCUUUUGCCAAUCUAGUCUAUGAGAGGGUGUCAGUUACACACCUGUUUGCGACGAUAUGCUGACGAGAUCCACACACGAACCGCCUACAAUUGGAUUACUAACACGUUAAUCUAACUAUUCAAAUACGAACUAUGUAUUAACCCCUUACAAUAUUCGGCCAACCACACCUAUAGAUCAUAGUAAGCUUAUAAGAAAUCAAUAAGCAACUCAUUAACAAAUUUUUGUCAAUGUUUACCACAUAAUCAUAAUUUCACUGCAAGCUGUCUUCCUGAGCAACAGUCACUAAAUCAUUUAUAACUGGAGCUACGAAACUCCAAAUCAAGUUCCGUUAAUUUUCCCUGAAAUAGACUCAUAUAUCUUCUAUUCAUAAAAUUUUCAAAAUUUUUGGUUUAGCCAAUCAAUACCAGAAUUUUCUAAAAGUUUCCCAUGUUUCACUGUUUGACUAAUCUGACCACCCUUUAUUACGAAUCAAAUUUCUCAUUGUACAGAAUUCAAAAUAUGUUCUUGUUUAUUUCAUUAGAAACUAGACUCAAUAAGCUUUAAUUACAUAAUUUAUUCAGCUUCUAAUUCUUCUCCCACAAUUUAUGGUGAUUUUCCAAAGUCACAUUACUGCUGCUGUCCCAAGCAGAUUUAUUACCAAAUCACUCUUUCACACCUAACUUGCAUGCUUGUUAAUUAAACAUGUAUAUCACCAAUCAAUCAUCACAUAUCCAUGAUUUUACUUAAGUAUAAUCUCCAUUUCAUCAUUUUAAAGCACAACAUGUUAGCCGAUUUUUCCCCUUAGCAUCUAAGGCACAUGCAUGCUCAUUUGUUUGGCUCAACUUCACCUAUCUUCCAUUUUUCAUCAAAAGAACAUGAAACAACAACCAUUUCCUUCAUUUUAAUUCAUGACUAAAUGCUCACAACACAACUAAAAAUCAAAAUAUACUUCAAGAGUUAAGGUAGAAUCAAGAAGAACUCAUGAACCUCAAAAUAGAAGCAAGGUACCAAGAACUUACCUUCAGUUUUCCUCCUCCUAAUGACCGAAUACUCAAGAGCUUUCUCCUCUCCUUUCUCUUCUCUAACUUUCAGCUAUGAUGAACAAAGAUGGACAAAACUUUGUUCUUUUC
This 2000-nucleotide long non-coding RNA is filed under the name Gossypium barbadense (sea-island cotton). RNAcentral's name for it is "long non-coding RNA (GBAR_LNC007925)". Lineage: Eukaryota; Viridiplantae; Streptophyta; Magnoliopsida; Malvales; Malvaceae. The record is from RNAcentral.